This 69-nucleotide transfer RNA is filed under the name Ictidomys tridecemlineatus (thirteen-lined ground squirrel). RNAcentral describes it as "Spermophilus tridecemlineatus (thirteen-lined ground squirrel) tRNA". It matches the Rfam family "tRNA". Rfam says of the family: Transfer RNA (tRNA) molecules are approximately 80 nucleotides in length. Their secondary structure includes four short double-helical elements and three loops (D, anti-codon, and T loops). Further hydrogen bonds mediate the characteristic L-shaped molecular structure. tRNAs have two regions of fundamental functional importance: the anti-codon, which is responsible for specific mRNA codon recognition, and the 3' end, to which the tRNAs corresponding amino acid is attached (by aminoacyl-tRNA synthetases). tRNAs cope with the degeneracy of the genetic code in two manners: having more than one tRNA (with a specific anti-codon) for a particular amino acid; and 'wobble' base-pairing, i.e. permitting non-standard base-pairing at the 3rd anti-codon position. Lineage: Eukaryota; Metazoa; Chordata; Mammalia; Rodentia; Sciuridae. The record is from Rfam by way of RNAcentral.
GGGGCUGUAGCUCAGUGGUAGAGCCCUUACCUAGCAUGUAUGAGGCACUGGGUUUGAUCCUCAGCACCA